This 71-nucleotide transfer RNA is filed under the name Marmota monax (woodchuck). Its description in RNAcentral is "tRNA.Ala". It matches the Rfam family "tRNA". Rfam says of the family: Transfer RNA (tRNA) molecules are approximately 80 nucleotides in length. The record is from RNAcentral. Lineage: Eukaryota; Metazoa; Chordata; Mammalia; Rodentia; Sciuridae.
GGGGUUGUGGCUCAGUGGUAGAGCACUUGCCUAGCAUGCAUGAGGCACUGGGUUAGAUCCCCUGCACCACA